GAUGAACGCUGGCGGCGUGCCUAAUACAUGCAAGUCGAGCGAACGGACGAGAAGCUUGCUUCUCUGAUGUUAGCGGCGGACGGGUGAGUAACACGUGGAUAACCUACCUAUAAGACUGGGAUAACUUCGGGAAACCGGAGCUAAUACCGGAUAAUAUUUCGAACCGCAUGGUUCAAAAGUGAAAGACGGUCUUGCUGUCACUUAUAGAUGGAUCCGCGCUGCAUUAGCUAGUUGGUAAGGUAACGGCUUACCAAGGCAACGAUGCAUAGCCGACCUGAGAGGGUGAUCGGCCACACUGGAACUGAGACACGGUCCAGACUCCUACGGGAGGCAGCAGUAGGGAAUCUUCCGCAAUGGGCGAAAGCCUGACGGAGCAACGCCGCGUGAGUGAUGAAGGUCUUCGGAUCGUAAAACUCUGUUAUUAGGGAAGAACAUAUGUGUAAGUAACUGUGCACAUCUUGACAGUACCUAAUCAGAAAGCCACGGCUAACUACGUG
This 497-nucleotide ribosomal RNA is filed under the name uncultured bacterium. RNAcentral describes it as "partial 16S ribosomal RNA". It matches the Rfam family "Bacterial small subunit ribosomal RNA", at positions 28 to 507 of the family's 1533-position model. The record is from RNAcentral.